RNAcentral lists this ribosomal RNA (251 nucleotides) under uncultured bacterium. Its description in RNAcentral is "partial 16S ribosomal RNA". It matches the Rfam family "Bacterial small subunit ribosomal RNA", at positions 524 to 776 of the family's 1533-position model. The record is from RNAcentral.
UACGUAGGGGCAAGCGUUAUCCGGAAUCACUGGGCGUAAAGGGUGCGUAGGCGGCCAAUCAAGUCUGGGGUGAAAGGCUACGGCUUAACCGUAGUAAGCCUUGGAAACUGGUUGGCUUGAGUGCAGGAGAGGAGAGUGGAAUUCCUAGUGUAGCGGUGAAAUGCGUAGAUAUUAGGAGGAACACCAGUGGCGAAGGCGACUCUCUGGACUGUAACUGACGCUGAGGCACGAAAGCGUGGGGAGCAAACAGG